CUUCAAAUCUUUUCUGAACAUACAAACCUCAUUCAGAAAAUCUCUGACAUCCUUCAGAUUGUGAAUUUAUACCGGCCCAUGUUCCCGAAAUAUCGCAUGCUUCAUAUCAAUAUUCACCCUGAUGUUGUUCAUACCAUUGAGGAUUCCCUUCACUUAUUUUCUGCACUAGAAACUUGA
This is a non-coding RNA of Vicia faba (fava bean), 177 nucleotides long. Lineage: Eukaryota; Viridiplantae; Streptophyta; Magnoliopsida; Fabales; Fabaceae. The record is from the annotation of a GenBank genome assembly.